UUGCGUAAGAACUUAUCGAUUUUUAAACCAGAAGAAGCUCCAGGAUGAGAUUGUUUGGACAAUAUCAAAAAGCUAACUUAGGACUGGUUUCAAGCUUUCUACCUAGGAACCUCGUUAUCAAAUUGGAAUAUUUGAAAGAUCGAUCUGCUUAGAUGUUUCUCUUGUUUUUAACGUUUUUUUUUUCUUCUUAAUUCCUUGUUCUUCCUUGUCUUGUAUUAAGGAUUGAGUACGCAUGUACUCCUCAUAAUACAUUUCUUAUUUAU
RNAcentral lists this long non-coding RNA (263 nucleotides) under Lathyrus oleraceus (garden pea). Its description in RNAcentral is "Pisum sativum (pea) long non-coding RNA (PSAT_LNC023362)". The record is from RNAcentral. Lineage: Eukaryota; Viridiplantae; Streptophyta; Magnoliopsida; Fabales; Fabaceae.